Molecule: ribosomal RNA, 253 nt
Filed under: uncultured bacterium
Lineage: Bacteria
Description: partial 16S ribosomal RNA
Rfam family: Bacterial small subunit ribosomal RNA
Source: RNAcentral
UACGAGGGGGGCGAGCGUUGUUCGGAAUUAUUGGGCGUAAAGGGCGCGUAGGCGGUGUGGCAAGUCAGGUGUGAAACCUCCAGGCUUAACUUGGAGCUUGCAUCUGGAACUGCCGUGCUAGAGUGCGGGAGAGGAGAGUGGAAUUCCUGGUGUAGCGGUGAAAUGCGUAGAUAUCAGGAGGAACACCGGUGGCGAAGGCGGCUCUCUGGACCGCAACUGACGCUGAGGCGCGAAAGCUAGGGGAGCAAACAGG